AUUGAACGCUGGCGGCAGGCCUAACACAUGCAAGUCGAACGAGUGGCGGACGGGUGAGUAAUGUCUGGGAAACUGCCUGAUUGAGGGGGAUAACUACUGGAAACGGUCGCUACUACCGCAUACCAUCGGAUGUGCCCAGAUGGGAUUAGCUAGUAGGUGGGGUAAAGGCUCACCUAGGCGACGAUCCCUAGCUGGUCUGAGAGGAUGACAAGCAACACUGGAACUGAGACACGGCCCAGACGCCUACGGGAGGCAGCAGUGGGGAAUAUUGCACAAUGGGCGAAAGCCUGAUGCAGCCAUGCCGCGUGUAUGAAGAAGGCCUUCGGGUUGUAAAGUACUUUCAGCGGGGAGGCGGUACCCGCAGAAGAAGCACCGGCUAACUCCGUGCCAGCAGCCGCGGUAAUAC
This 406-nucleotide ribosomal RNA is filed under the name uncultured bacterium. RNAcentral describes it as "partial 16S ribosomal RNA". It matches the Rfam family "Bacterial small subunit ribosomal RNA", at positions 30 to 526 of the family's 1533-position model. The record is from RNAcentral.